This 401-nucleotide long non-coding RNA is filed under the name Manacus vitellinus (golden-collared manakin). RNAcentral's name for it is "lncRNA (ENSMVIG00005010901.1)". The record is from RNAcentral. Lineage: Eukaryota; Metazoa; Chordata; Aves; Passeriformes; Pipridae.
CGUGCAAAAGCUGGCGCGGCAGAAGCUGCCGUACAGCCCGCAGUGGAGCCUGCUGCUGGCCAUGGCCGCAGGGUCCCUCGCGAGCUAUGUGGUAACCAGAGCUGAGACACAGAAAUGCUCCGACUUCUGGAUUUAUCUGGAGACAGGCAAGUCCCCACAGCAGCUCGCCGUGACUGGUGGGGUGUCUCAGACCACAGAAAAUCUGCUCAGCACAGAGGACAGGGACAGCGCCGCACUGCCGGUGAGGAGGAACAGGCUUGAUGGCACUGUUGGGAAGCUCAGAGGACUUGAUCCUGCAGCGAGAGUGUGGUGGAGGCACUACAGGGAUCACUGCUGCCCACCUCAUGGCCUCUGAACAUUGCACUGAGGGUACAAUAAAAGUCAAGAACUGAAGGUGCUCA